ACGCAUGCCCAUAAACUACUCAUAUCCUAAACCAAAAGAAUCAACGCACCCUGUCAAUUGAAUUUGAAUGCCCUCUGCUUCGCACCCUCAAUGACCCCCACCUCCGACCAAUGGCCGUCGCGGGCUACCGCACCAGAAAGCACUUCCGGAGGCGGUGGCCACCAAAACACAAACCAUCCAUCCCAUCCAAAUCAUCUUCACCUCCUCAAACCGACUCCAAUCUCAAUUUCAAGAAAACCUGACUCCAUCAUCACGAAUCGAAAUCCAGAACUCAAGAACCCUAGAGGCUUAAAUGAAAAUUACAUAGUGAGGCUCAAGAAUCAGAACCUUCACUGUUAGGGCUUUGAGUCACCUUAGGCUAGGCUUCAGAAUGAUAACAUGAAAGUAAUGAGAGGGCGAGGAAGAACCUACCUCCUAAGUUGAGGAUCGCUCUGGUGAAAAGUUGAAUCGGAGAAGACGAAUUGAACAACGGGAAGUCAAUUGAUCAAUAGCUUCAAUGAAUUUUUGGUGUGACUGCUUGCUGCAGGAUGCUAUGGUCACAAAUGUUGCACCAUUGGACUCGAAUUGGGUGGAUCUUGAUGCUUAGACAUGUUCAUCUUUGAGCUACCUUCACCUGCUGGCUUUCCAUGAUGCUACUAGGUGAUGGUAUGAACUACUGCAGGGACCCUGUUACUGAUAAUGCAGAAAGGGCAUCAUUCUGCCUUGGUUCAGUUCCAAUCAUAUGACAUUGGUGUCAUGGUUUGACCCUCUUCCUUCUGAGCUCAUGUGCUGGACUGUUUUGAUGUUAGCCUAGGAAUUUUUUAGCUUAGAGUGCACUUAGGGUGUUCCAAUGUAAUUGAUCUUUUUUCAUGGUUGUAAGUUGUAUGAAUGUAGAUGGACUCAUUAUGAAAUGGCAAGUAUUUUGAUUUCUAAAA
This is a long non-coding RNA of Lathyrus oleraceus (garden pea), 914 nucleotides long. RefSeq lists it as uncharacterized. The record is from RefSeq and is a predicted model, not a curated record. Lineage: Eukaryota; Viridiplantae; Streptophyta; Magnoliopsida; Fabales; Fabaceae. The transcript has 2 exons.